GUCCUAGGUCAACAAUCUCCUGCGCAAUACACACCACCUCCUAAUUAUUAGGAGAUUUGUUCUAUCUAUGCUAGCCUAGCCCAUCAUGUGAGUUAAUGUCCCACGGCUGCACAAUUUUUACCUUUCAUCUAAGAACAAGUUCAAGCUGUCCAAAGUUACUCCAAGCCUGUCAAUGACCCAUUCUCAAAUAUAUAUAAUCCAGAUUGGAGGAACCAUCCUAAUUUUUUUGGAGAUAUCAACAGACUCAAGCCUAGACCCAAAUGUCAUCUGUGCAAAACUUUCAAAAUAGGCCCCAAUAGCAAAAUUAUAUCUAUAAUGGAGGUCAGCUUAGUCAGCCUACCCAGCUAUCAUAUCACAAUCAGCCGUCAUACCCAU
RNAcentral lists this long non-coding RNA (375 nucleotides) under Elaeis guineensis (African oil palm). RNAcentral describes it as "long non-coding RNA (EGUI_LNC037617)". The record is from RNAcentral. Lineage: Eukaryota; Viridiplantae; Streptophyta; Magnoliopsida; Arecales; Arecaceae.